This 253-nucleotide ribosomal RNA is filed under the name uncultured bacterium. Its description in RNAcentral is "partial 16S ribosomal RNA". It matches the Rfam family "Bacterial small subunit ribosomal RNA", at positions 524 to 776 of the family's 1533-position model. The record is from RNAcentral.
UACGUAGGGGGCGAGCGUUGUCCGGAGUUACUGGGCGUAAAGCGCACGCAGGCGGUCUGCUAAGUUUGGAGUGACAGUUGGUGGCUUAACUGCCAAAGUGCUUCGAAAACUGACAGACUUGAGGGCUUCAGAGGGACACGGAAUUCCGGGUGGAGUGGUGAAAUGCGUAGAGAUCCGGAGGAACACCAAAGGCGAAGGCAGUGUCCGGGGGAGUGCCUGACGCUCAGGUGCGAAAGCCAGGGGAGCGAACGGG